CAGUAGCCGCGGUAAUACGGAGGGUGCAAGCGUUAAUCGGAAUUACUGGGCGUAAAGCGCACGCAGGCGGUCUGACAAGUCAGAUGUGAAAUCCCCGGGCUUAACCUGGGAACUGCAUUUGAAACUGUCAGGCUGGAGUCUUGUAGAGGGGGGUAGAAUUCCAGGUGUAGCGGUGAAAUGCGUAGAGAUCUGGAGGAAUACCGGUGGCGAAGGCGGCCCCCUGGACAAAGACUGACGCUCAGGUGCGAAAGCGUGGGGAGCAAACAGGAUUAGAUACCCCAGUAGUCCCUGUCUCUUAUAA
Molecule: ribosomal RNA, 301 nt
Filed under: uncultured bacterium
Lineage: Bacteria
Description: partial 16S ribosomal RNA
Rfam family: Bacterial small subunit ribosomal RNA
Source: RNAcentral